This 75-nucleotide transfer RNA is filed under the name Pseudomonadales bacterium. RNAcentral describes it as "tRNA-Cys". It matches the Rfam family "tRNA". From Rfam's summary of the family: Transfer RNA (tRNA) molecules are approximately 80 nucleotides in length. Lineage: Bacteria; Pseudomonadati; Pseudomonadota; Gammaproteobacteria; Pseudomonadales. The record is from RNAcentral.
GCACGGGUGGCUGAGUGGUGAGGCAGCGGAUUGCAAAUCCGUAUCACGCCGGUUCGAAUCCGGCUCCGUGCUCCA